AAACAGUCAUUGUUUUCAAAACUUCCAUCAUCAGAUUUUGUUUUCUCUUUUUAGUCUCUAUUUUGUACUUAUGUGUUGCCUUUCUGUAUCUGCUUAUGUUGAUGGAAUAUUUAUUACUUUCCAAGUCUAAUAGGCUGCCAGAAUUCCUAGAUUUUAUUUCUUUCCCACAUAUGGGCGGCAGUGAAAAUAGAUGGAAAAACUCUUUACUAUAGGCAUAAAAUAAGUGUAAUAAAGUGCUGUCAAGAUUGAAUAGGUUUGCAUAUUAAUCUUACAUGGGUUUUUAUUUUAAUGCUCAUGCUUCUUUCUUUUUUUUCCCCUUUUUUUAUAUUUCAGGCCAUUUAAUAUAGAUAUUCUUUAAUACAUUUCUCUUGUUGUGCUUUACUUUUAUUAACUGCUGUUACAUAGUCACAAGGGGAUUUUAGCAGCCACAGCAGUGCAUUCUAUUUACUAAUAACAGUUACUGUACUCCAUAGGAUUAUUCAGUUAGUUAACUUGGUCAGUUAGUUUAGUAAACUAACUUUAAUUUCAAAUCCCUAACUCCAUGUUCAUGGAAUUAAGGUCCACAUGGUUAUUUCAGGAAGACUGCCUCCCUCAGGUGAGGAAUCUUUCAGUAUUGAUUUUGGGGUUCUAAAGGUAGAAUUUGUUUUGUAUCAUGCUUUGCUUUGGUUCUGUCUUGUACCCUCUCAUCUGCAAUUCUGUUCUGGACUUCUUUCCAUUCUGAAGGGCUUGGCCACUGCAAAUGUUGUACUUUUUUUGGAUAUAAAUACAUGGAUUGUCUACCCAUAGUAUCAUGUGUUGAAGACACCUCUGUGCGUAGCAGUGAGUCACGAAGUGCGCUUGGAGGUCCAGUGCUUGAAGCAGAUACUGCACUUGUGUGGGGGUCUUGCAUUGUAGCUGUGAGGAGCAUGCUUGGUUUUAGACUGGCUUGUAAAGCCAUGCUGUUAAGUUCCUUAUAUUCAAGAGCUUGGUAGGCCUAGAACAGAAAUAAUGUAAUAUGUCAUUGAUUUAGAGAUGUUGUUCAACUCCAGGAAGAAGACAACAUUUGUGGGACUUCAGUAGUGAAACAGUUAAGGGAAAUUUGUUUUCUUUGUAGCCCAAAUGGCUGUUCUCCAGGUCUGAUCAGAGAGCAAGUCCUAAUGGGGAUCUAUUUAGAAGACUGCAGCUAUUAUGUUAGGAAAAGUAGAGAAUUAGAGCCUUUUUGCCUUUCAAGAUGUCAAAAAGUACUUUGUUACUAAAAGCAAUAAAAUUGCUUCAAUGCCUUUUUAAUUAA
Molecule: long non-coding RNA, 1270 nt
Organism: Pezoporus occidentalis (night parrot)
Lineage: Eukaryota; Metazoa; Chordata; Aves; Psittaciformes; Psittacidae
Exons: 2
Source: RefSeq, a predicted model, not a curated record